GGACACAGAGAGGGCCUUCUCAGCGGCUGUGCCUUGACUAUGGAACUCCCUACCAAGGGAGGACCCACUUUGCUCCUUCUCUAUCACCAGUUGAGCACCAGAAGAGCUGUUUUGUUCUGAGCAUGUAAUAAGUGUUGCUGCCGGGAAUCCCUAAAAGGACAAGUUCUAGGAGAUUGAAUGAGACAGACAAAGGUGCUGUGCCAGUUGGUCUGAUGGUGACUCGAGGUCGGGUCUUCUUAGUAGCCACUUCUGGGUUAUGGAUCACACUCAUACUCCCAGUGGAAAUAUGAGGAUCCCACACUACGACAAACUUCAGUGGUGAAGAAGAUAAGAUUCAACGGAGGGAUUGCAGGAGAAGGAAGAAGAGCAAAGUGCAGGAGACAGGACAGGCUGCUGCAAAGAAAAUGGAUACAGCAUACAACUGGCUGGGAUGUAGUGUGCAUGUGUGUGCACAUGUGCCUUUGCUCAAGCAGUGAUCCUCCAUGCAAUAAUGAGGGUGUGCCAAAGAGGAAGGUCAGGUAUCAUCAAACCAGAUGGGAAAGCUUGGGCCAAAAGUUGCAGUGACCGAGAAGAUAGUUGUUUUGCAUAGAAUGAGUGUAUGCAUAUGAAAGGACUUUCAUUGUGACAUACAGAAACUUGAACUAUCACCCCAAAUGCUA
Hemicordylus capensis (graceful crag lizard) is the source of this 659-nucleotide long non-coding RNA. RefSeq lists it as uncharacterized. NCBI's taxonomy places the organism in Eukaryota, Metazoa, Chordata, Lepidosauria, Squamata, Cordylidae. The record is from RefSeq and is a predicted model, not a curated record. The transcript has 5 exons.